UUACCUACGGGAGGCAGCAGUGAGGAAUAUUGGUCAAUGGGCGGGAGCCUGAACCAGCCAAGUCGCGUGAGGGACGACGGUCCUAUGGACUGUAAACCUCUUUUGUCGGGGAACAAAGGCGCCCACGGGUGGGCGGAUGAGUGUACCCGAAGAAAAAGCAUCGGCUAACUCCGUGCCAGCAGCCGCGGUAAUACGGAGGAUGCGAGCGUUAUCCGGAUUUAUUGGGUUUAAAGGGUGCGUAGGCGGAAUGCCAAGUCAGCGGUAAAAUCGCGGGGCUCAACCUCGCUCCGCCGUUGAAACUGGCG
This 305-nucleotide ribosomal RNA is filed under the name uncultured bacterium. RNAcentral's name for it is "bacterial SSU rRNA". It matches the Rfam family "Bacterial small subunit ribosomal RNA", at positions 335 to 638 of the family's 1533-position model. The record is from RNAcentral.